RNAcentral lists this transfer RNA (66 nucleotides) under Eulichas sp. BMNH 840452. RNAcentral describes it as "tRNA-Arg". The record is from RNAcentral. Lineage: Eukaryota; Metazoa; Arthropoda; Insecta; Coleoptera; Eulichadidae.
AAAUAAGAAGCAAAAAAUUUGUAUUUAGUUUCGACCUAAACCUUGAUGUUAACUCAUCCUUAUUUA